GGAAUGUUGUCUGUAACACAGAAGAUUCUUAAUAAAGGCCUGCCAACUUGAAGUGGACUUAACACACCUGCUCUUGCCAUAAGCACAUUGUUUUCAAAAAUGAAAAAGCAUCAGAGAGAAGGAGAGACAGGGGUCUCAGAUACAGAGGCCACCGUGAAUCACAUCACCCAGCCCUGCAGUUGCCUUGCACCUCCUGCAUUAGCGGCACCAGUGAUGCGUGUCUGUCAUCUCCCCUGCCACGGUUUGCAUCCCUAGCCCAGCACCGGGAUGGAUGAAAGGGAUCAGAGUCCAAGAGGAGCCUGCUCUUCAAAAAUGCCUAGCGACAAACAGUCCUGGGAGGAUGGCCACAGGGAAAUGGAAGAGAAAACUGAAUUAUUCUGAUUUACCUUCUCUUGUUAAUCGGGUCCCUUUGCAACCACUAGAGACUUUCAGGAAAAAAAAUCAGCUUAUUUAUCUCCUUUCAUAUGGAAUGCAAUAAAACCAAGGGGGAAACAAGCUAUAAAGUGACGCAUUUUUCACAGCAAUAGCUCCUAGGGGAGCAAUACAAGAAAAGAAAAAGAAAGAUGAUCCAACAUCAGGGAAGACAUCUGCUAAAGUGGAUGUCAAGACAAAGCUUCACAUUUUCACAUUUCCCUCAAAUAAUCAUUUUUCUUCUUUCUGAGGAAAGUGUAUUUCAUUUGCACAGGGCUAUCUGGGAAAUAGCAAUCAUUAAUACUAAACGUACUUGGUCCUACAGCUGCCUUGCUCACAGGGAAGCAAAGGAAGAAUGCUGGUUCUUGCUAGACAAUCAGAGGGCACAGUGACUGUAAAAUUAGUGUCAGAGUGGGCCUGGUACCAUUAAAAUUUAGAACGAGGCAAGAACAGACUGUGUCAUUUUCCCAGUCAUGAGCUCUCAGUUUGAGCUGAUCAAUUCCAUACAAGAAAGAGAGUGUCACAAAGUUAAGCCUAAAAUUCAGCUGUUAGUGCAAUUUUCUCUUACUAAAUUUAAUACCGGGUAUAUUGUGAUCGAGAACAAAUUUACAUUUGCUUUGUCCUUUAAAUGGAAAGGUGAAGUCUUCUCUGUGACCAAAGCUAUGAACCCACAAUACAAUCAAGGGCUUUAGAGUUCUCAACCAUGCAGCCUUUGCUGUCUUUGACACUUGAGUAUUUUUCCUUUACUUUUCUAUUUCCUGCUUUAAAAAAAUGGUUUAAAAAUUUCUUGGACCUUCAGAUUAAGUUUCUGGGAAUCUAAAGAUUUUUAACAUUAUUAAAUUGUCUAUUAUAGUAAACUUAAAACUCACAAUAAUUUUUCCUUGAAAUACCAAAGCUGAUUUGCAUAAUUAAUUUUAUGAUAGAAAUUUUUACAUUGCUUUUAUUAAAUUUUCAAUAGACAUAUACAAGUAUUUUAAUAUAUAUUUACAGAGUAAAGAAUAUAAACAUAAUUAACUCCAAGAUACCUACCAGUUUAUCUAAGAUAGAGAAUAAAGCUAAUGCUUUUGAAAUUCGCUGCUUCCUGGUUCCCAACUCCUUGCCUCUUCUCUUAGAACUAUCACUUAAAAGUUGGGUUUAUGAUUUUCUUGCAUGUGUAUGUGUGUAUGUGCAUUUAUCAUAUAUGUAUGCUUGAUCAGAAAAUUGUUUGGCAGAAUGUUUUUAAAGGCCUAAAUGGAAAAAGGCAUUUUUACUGACACUAAUGAUUUGCUUUUUUCACUUAACUUUCUCUGGCUGCAAUUUAUCUGUGUUGACGCACAUAGCUGUAACUCAUUCACUUCCCUUGCUGUAUAGUAUAGUAUUUCAUUGAAUAAAUAUAACACAAUUUACAUAUUAUUCUCUUGUUAAUGGACAU
Molecule: long non-coding RNA, 1822 nt
Filed under: Homo sapiens (human)
Lineage: Eukaryota; Metazoa; Chordata; Mammalia; Primates; Hominidae
Description: HSALNT0183107
Source: RNAcentral